This 488-nucleotide ribosomal RNA is filed under the name uncultured bacterium. RNAcentral's name for it is "partial 16S ribosomal RNA". It matches the Rfam family "Bacterial small subunit ribosomal RNA", at positions 28 to 507 of the family's 1533-position model. The record is from RNAcentral.
GACGAACGCUGGCGGCGUGCUUAACACAUGCAAGUCGAACGGAAAGGCCCCCAUCUUGGUGGGGUGCCCGAGGGGGGAAAGGGGGGGUUACACGGGGGUGAAUCGCCCUGUAAUUCGGGAUAAGCUUGGGAAACUGGGUCUAAUUCCGGAUUGGAACCAGGUUUAGGGUUCUCUGGGGGAAAGAUUAAUGUUUUUGUGCAGGAAGAGCUCGCGGCCUAUCAGCUUGUUGGUGGGGUAAUGGCCUACCAAGGCGUCGACGGGUAGCCGGCCUGAGAGGGUGGACGGCCACAUUGGGACUGAGAUACGGCCCAGACUCCUACGGGAGGCAGCAGUGGGGAAUAUUGCACAAUGGGCGCAAGCCUGAUGCAGCGACGCCGCGUGGGGGAUGACGGCCUUCGGGUUGUAAACUCCUUUCGUUAGGGACGAAGCCGCACUUUUUUUGGGUGUGGUGACGGUACCUUUGUUAAGAAGCACCGGCUAACUACGUG